Molecule: ribosomal RNA, 320 nt
Filed under: uncultured Oscillospira sp.
Lineage: Bacteria; Bacillati; Bacillota; Clostridia; Eubacteriales; Oscillospiraceae
Description: bacterial SSU rRNA
Rfam family: Bacterial small subunit ribosomal RNA
Source: RNAcentral
GAUGAACGCUGGCGGCGUGCCUAACACAUGCAAGUCGAACGGGGUUAAGGGAAAUUUUCGGAUGGAACUUAACUUAGUGGCGGACGGGUGAGUAACGCGUGAGGAACCUGCCUUUCAGAGGGGGACAACAGCUGGAAACGGCUGCUAAUACCGCAUGACACAUUCGGGCGGCAUCGCCUGGAUGUCAAAGAUUUAUCGCUGAAAGAUGGCCUCGCGUCUGAUUAGAUAGUAGGCGGGGUAACGGCCCACCUAGUCGACGAUCAGUAGCCGGACUGAGAGGUUGACCGGCCACAUUGGGACUGAGAUACGGCCCAGACUCC